Molecule: ribosomal RNA, 16 nt
Filed under: Ulva paschima
Lineage: Eukaryota; Viridiplantae; Chlorophyta; Ulvophyceae; Ulvales; Ulvaceae
Description: partial 26S ribosomal RNA
Source: RNAcentral
GACCUGAGUUCAGGUG